GUUCCCUACCCCUGAGUUAGAUGAUUUCUCUCCUUGAAAGUGCUCGCUGAUGGGCUGACAUUCUGGCCGGGGUCUUCUCCUGCCUGUCUGGGUCCUGUGCUGUCAGGGAUGCACUCCAGAGUUGUGAUUUCAACAUUUAUUCAUUUUCCAAAAUCAAUAACUAUUCAAUGUUUAAUUCACUGAUGCAAGACCUAAAUUCACCCAUAAUUAAGAUGGCGAAACAAUGUUGCAAUAUAAACACUGAUUCAAUUCUCAGAAUCAAAGCAAAAUUCAGCAGUGAUUCAACCUUAAUCCAUGACAUUCAUUCACCCGUGAAUGAAUGUUGAAAUACCAGUUGGGUAUAGUUAUGAUUUUUGGCUUAUAGUAGUGGGGGUGGAACUUCCAAAAACGUGGCUCCCGUAAAUAUGUGAAAUGCUUGUAUGAAGGUGUGCAUAUAACCUGGGAACAUAAUGACCAUUGAGCCAGUUAAACAAGUUGGAAACUCAAAGAUUUCCAAGGCAGGCAGGCAUCCACGUAAUAAACUACAGCUUUGAACGCCACCCCCCCCCCCAAAUUUGUCUGCUUCCAACUUGGCUUGUAGCCAAGUAACUGGAUUACCAUGUAAAACCCCAACCCAAAAUUUGCUUCCACCCACUGGCAAAAUCUACCGAAGCAGACUUUGGUGAUAGUUGCUGCUUUGCGAUUAAAAAUCUAUGUGGAACAAUUACAAAACAUACUCCCUCGCACGUGUGAAAAUUGGACUGAGAAAUGACAUUUCACCACUAUCUGUAUAUCAUUUUGGAAAGUUACAUUGAAUUUACUAGUAACUGUUAGGUUAAAACUCAUAUUCCUAGCAUGCAUCACAUUGCUAAAUGACCCGUACUGAGCAUUCGAAACCAAGUUACUGGCACUCAUGCUUAACAAAAUAACUACUGCAGUGACAGACACACUGCAUAAUGUUUCCCUGAACACUUAAAUGACUGGAGUCUAUCAGUAACAACCGAACUGUAGUAGAAUUGCUCAUUAGGGUUGGGUGAUAUUAAAAAAACUACAUUUUAAUUAUAAAAUAUCUAGUUAAACGAUAAUUUAACGUCACCCCCCCCCCCCCCCCCCAAACACACACACAACCACUGACACAUGCUCAGUGAAUAGUCAUUUUACAUCAUUAAUCAAUGCUCUGCAUUAGUUUAGACAUUUAUAAUUUUUAAGGUCGGAACAGAACAGGCAAACGCGAUGGGUCGGUGGGUGUACAAAAAUACCAGACAAAUCGCAUAUUUUUGUGGACCAGUAUGAGGGAUUUUAUUUUCCAGUAUGGGGCAGUCUGCACUCCGCAUUGGACAAGCUUUUAAAAGUAAUUAACUGCCCAGCCUAGUUCAUCUAAAAAUUGUCAAUGGUUCUUUAAUUUUUUUAAUCCCAAAUUUUGGCUUUAGCCUGGGAAGACUUAAAUGAAAGAAGGGAUUUGUAUCUAGGCUAUCAAGGCCAUCAGCAGUGUCUUCAUCUUGUAAGGGGACUAACAAUGAAAAUGUCUCGUCAUGUUCGACCAUCCACAUAAACCCAGAAACUCAAAAUCUUCACCAGGAAGUUGCAUUUGAACGGCUGACGUUCUGGUGCUGACUGGCAGACUGCCUUUGGUGAUGCGGCAAUGUCUAACUUCCUAAUUCACAAGAAUGGAGAACACACUAUUACUGCAAUGAGGAAUGCUUGUGAAAGCCGGUGCUAUAAUAGCCCUUCUUUUUAACUGCGUCAGAAAUUUCUGUUGUCUUUUUUGUGUUGAAUAAGCCUACUUUCCCGAUAAAGGCAGUGAUCACCAUUUAGUCACUGUCUGAUAUCAAUUGCCUUCAGAAUGAAUGAAAUUUUGUUAUUAGGGCAAGUGUCAGCACCAGUGACAAACAUUCUUGCUGGGGCUGAUUUACCAAUAGAUUUCCCUUUCUAGUCCAGUAUAAGCAUUCAAAUGAGCAGUCAGAAAAUGACAACAAUUUCACAAUCAUAAUGUAAUUUCCUUAGUUGUCUGGGGGUUGGCAUGGUGGUGCAGUGGUUGGCCCUGUUGCCUCACACCUCUGGGACCCGGGUUCAAGUCUCUGCCUGGAUCACAUGUGUGUGGAGUUUGCAUGUUCUCCCCCUGACGUCGUGGGGUUUCCUCCAGGUACUCCGGUUUCCCCCCACAGUCCAAAAACAUGCUGAGGCUAACUGGACUUGCUAAAUUGCCCAUAGGUGUGCAUGUGAGAGUGAAUGGUGUGUGAGUGUGCCCUGAGAAGGGCUGGCCCCCCAUCCUGGGUUGUUCCCUGCCUCGUGCCUAUUGCUUCCAGGAUAGGCUCCAGAUCCCCCGCAACCCAGUAGAAUAAGCAGUUUGGAGGAUGGAUGGAUGGAUGGAUAGUUGGCUGGGCGAUAUUUAUUUUGGGCUUAUCGGGUCCCAGCUCCUUAACGUGGAUUUUUUCCACCAUCAUCCUCGCAAAAAGGUAAUCCAAUAACGAUCUCACGGAACUUGCUGGAAGCCGCCCCUCAACUGUCGUCGUCGCCAUCAUCUCUCUCUGACUGACUGACCUGAGAGCGAUCCAAAACUUUUCUGCAGCAGGGGCGAAAUUUCCAGCACCCCAAGACCAUUCAAGUCGGCGAUGCUGAUAGGCGAAAUCUUUAUUAUAUUCGCCUAGCAACCGUACACGAUUGGCUGUUUCGCUGCACUUCUGGGGCGCUUUGAUGAUUAUAUGACUGGUGGAAAUCUGUCGGUGGAAAUUCACUGUAGAAUGAGAGUGGAAAUGUUGUUUACAUAAUUCAGAUUGCAUGUAGGCAGACACUAUUAAGUAAAACUGACAUUGAUCAAAUAAAUAUAUAUAUAUAUAUAUAUAUAUAUAUAUUAUAUCCCACCCCCACAUCUGGGAGGGCGGCACUCCAGCAUCCCCUAUGGACCAGCCUCCACUGGUCAGCACCUUUCAUGGACCUCAUGGAAUAGUGUUUUACUGAGAUUCGUUGUGCAAGUUCGGCAAUUUCUUUGUGCAUAAUACUAGUAUUGUUUUGGGUGCUACAAACAUUUUAAACUUAAUAGCACAUGUGGUAGAGAAGCCUAGCAUAGAGCCCCAAGUGAUGAUAAUGGGCAUUUUAUUUGGAUGUGGAUUUGGCAAAACACUGCAGCUGAAAAAGAACAAGGACAGUCAAUUUGUCUUUAUCACAGAGGAAACAUGGAGAGAAAAAAACAAGCCUUGGGUCUUCAGAAGGGCCACCACUGCAAUUUAGUCUAAGAACCUGAAUAACAAAACAGAAUUCUGAAGCAGCUCAGCAUCAGGACCACGCAAAGAAUCCAGUUCCACGACUUGUACCCACCUAGUUUUGCUUACACCAUCCCAACCAGUAGUAUCUACAAGAGAAAUACAAAUAUUAAUUGACUGUUCCUGGAGCUACAGACCAAGGUGCUAUUAGGGAAGCAAUUAAGGAACCAGAAGCUGGUGGUGCAACAAGAAUGACGAGUGGAAGUCGGGACCCAGAGGAACCGUCAUGACUCGGACAUUUAUUAGCCUUGAUGCCAGGGGGGGGUUCCACGAAGCAGGAUAAAGGGAAAGUCUGACUUAUUUCGACAAGUCUGGUUCAUUUAAGUUGGAGUUACGUUCCAUUAACGUGUCGUUAAUGAAUCCCCCGCUGAACUACCAUGGUAACUUAGGCGAGUGAACAAGUUUGCCCCGGAUCGGGUUAACUGUCUUGUUUAUUUAAGCGUUGUCUCAAAGAACGUCCAAUGUGUGGGAACAGAUUCUCAGAACAUCGUUCCAUCGGACAAAAUUCUGCACUCUCACUACUCAUGUCAUGUAAUAAAUAUAAUGAAGCUUAUAAAAAUCAUGUCUCAGCAUUCCAAUUAAUUCCAGAAUAAUUAAAAUAAAGGCGUACACGUAUUACAGAGCUCAAACAUGAAAUGCAAUGACUGAAAUUGAAAAAAAAUAUCAUUAAAAUAAUAUGAACAGGAAGAUAUUUUUAUGUUUUGUUUAGUCACAGUCUACUUUGAAAGUUUAUUAAUAAAAAGCAAAGACAAGAUACGGUUAUUUGUGCAGAAAAUUUCACACAGAUGCAUUUGAAAGAAUUUUACGGAGACCAAAUAAUAUAAAAUAACAUUAUACAGUAAGAAUGACACGUGAACUUAACCGAGAAGGUUCCCCAUUGGCUAUGGGGAUCGAAACAGGAACUUUCGCAGUGUAAAGUGACAGCAUAAACCACUGUACUACUGUGCCACUGUAUUAGGCAAUUGUAACAUUUACAUAACUUACGCAUUUAGUCUGUCUGCAGUUCGUCACCAAGGCAACUCCCUGGCUGUAUUUAUGGCCACAGUAUUGCCUUUUUAGCGAUUACAUUUUUGUAUUUUUCAUACAGCUCCAUCAGCAGCGUUUUUUCCGCGGUGGGAAAAAAGAAAACAUCACUCUCGUUUUAGAAAUGGCGCUAGUUUGGCUUUCUUUAGCUACUUUCAUGGAUUACCCCCCAGAUCUCUGACAGAGUCUCACCCCGGGCUGCCCACACAACAUGCCAAAGCUUCUGCCCCCUGGACCCUUGAGAUCAACAGUGAAAAUGCUGCUGGAAACGGUGAACCGGGGGACCUGGGCCACUGGCUGGAUUGAUAGCUCCAGGAUGAGGAGAAGCAGAAGGCUGACACGUCUGCAGAGUCCUGGAGACCCCAAACCGGAAACCUAAAGGCAGGGACGGAUUACGGACGGGGCCAGCAGGGCUGCUGCCCAGGGGCCCUUGGAGUGCAGGGGGCCCGUGGGGCCCCUAGCCCAAAACAAUUUGCAACGCUUACCAACAAUGUAUUUUCGUUUGUCUAUUUUAGAGGGCCUACAUUCUUUGAUCCUCUGCCUACAAGGGCCCCUGACCCUAUAGGGAGGGCGUUUGGCUGCCAAGGGCCCUUGAAUUGUGGUGGUUGUGGUGGUGGUGCUGGUGGUGUGUGUGUGUGUGUGUGUGUGUGUGGAGGGGGGGGGGGGCCCUCGCGAACGUUUUGCCCAGGGGCCCACACAACCCAUAAUCCGUCCCUGCCUAAAGGGGCAAGAACACAAAACCAAACCCUCAGAGGGAAGAUGCCAGCUGCACAGUUCACCAUCUGUGAAAUGAUAACCAGCUGAGAUCAUGAAGGCCCAACACAGAAACUGGCCAACCAGAAGCCCAAGGACAAAUGCCAGUCAAGGGCUGUGAACCCCAAGCUACCCCAACCCAACAAGCCAGUACCUGUUGGCUACAGACAGGCAUGGAGAAAACAGACCUACACAGACCAGCACUGCAAAAACUUCACUGCACUGUAGUGCACCACACCAAAGCCUUGCCAAGGUUACUACUGAACCCAGUGCUCCAAGAGCGAUGCCAAUGACCGAGCACUGCUCACUGCAUUGGUAAAACAAGGUUGGGCUCUACUACCAGCCCAGAGCAGAGCUCACUUACCUGAUUAAUCAGAGGCAGGUGUGACAGGAACGACUCAAGAGAACCAGAUAAACUUCAUAAGACGGCAUGGAUGGAUUAAGAGCUCUUAUCGUUCCAGCAGAUGGUUACCACUCGGUGUCGACUAUCUCUUUUGGAAGACUGCCUUUGUGGUGGCUACCUGCUCUGACAUGGCACUCCCACCGUUCGCUAGAGGCCACCGGCCCCAGCUGGAGCAAAUGGUAGCUUCAUCUCUCCCACCAGAGUCAAGGUAAGGGUGUGUAGAGCAAAUCCACUGGCAUCAUGCCUGAUCCUGUGAGGAUGUUCGACAGGCUGGCCGUCUGUCUCCUCGAUUCCAUCCUUGGCUGAGGCAGCCGGACAGCCCACUCUCUCCUGACAGACAUUAACCUGUGAGGAUCAUCAGCCACAAGCUAUAAUUGUUCCUUCCAAACCAAAGUGCACCUACCAUGUUUUUCAUCUGGCACAUUCCAGUCUCAGAUAAAAGGGUCUUCGGAGUGUAUAUGCAAUUCAUGACUUAAUGGUGUGAAGAAUUCAAUGAGGCCAUGUACAUCUGACCAGCAGCAUUACAUAUUACAACCUCUGUGUUCAUAGUGUGACCAGUUUUCUGUGUGAGGCAUGAACCACAGCUUCCUCCAGCACAGACUAAUUACACCAGAUGACCAUCAGACAUCUGCUUUCAACACAGUUUCUCUAAAACAUCCAUUUCCUCAGGAAUCUGCUGAUGUCAUCAAUAUACUCAUGUGAUACAUGAUCAUUUUUCCCAUCAGUAAAUUAGACUAGAUCCAGUAAAUCUACACCUGAAGCAUCAAUUUGUAUUCUAUAGAAUUUCUAUAGAAGUUCAAUUUUUGACAUAUUAAAUAUUUAAAAAACAGUUGUAAUCAGGGGCCCCGUAAAAGAAGGGAAAGUUAGGAUGCUUCCAAGGGCCCCUGAGCGACUGCUGCCCUAAACAUUUAGACCAUAAUUCAAUUGAUCUGUGUCAGGGGCCCUAUAUAAUAUACUUUUAUGGUUGAGGAAGGGUGUAGUGAAACCAUUCAUAUUACUGCCAACGCUGACAGCAGUAAGUGUGAAAAGUGUGCAGGCAUCAGCAGAUUAUCCCUUUGAAAUGAAAUCAAAUCUGAAUUGUAGUUAAAAAAAAAAAACCCUGAGACUGUUCAUUUCAGUUCAGGUGUAAAAAAAUGUUUUCUGAGUAUGUGAACUUUUAACUGUGAGUAUUUGUGAUUAUAAAUGUUGACUGAAUAGA
Brienomyrus brachyistius is the source of this 6616-nucleotide long non-coding RNA. RefSeq lists it as uncharacterized. The record is from RefSeq and is a predicted model, not a curated record. NCBI's taxonomy places the organism in Eukaryota, Metazoa, Chordata, Actinopteri, Osteoglossiformes, Mormyridae. The transcript is spliced from 2 exons.